This 853-nucleotide ribosomal RNA is filed under the name Burkholderia multivorans. RNAcentral's name for it is "partial 23S ribosomal RNA". It matches the Rfam family "Bacterial large subunit ribosomal RNA", at positions 1143 to 1850 of the family's 2925-position model. The record is from RNAcentral. Lineage: Bacteria; Pseudomonadati; Pseudomonadota; Betaproteobacteria; Burkholderiales; Burkholderiaceae.
CACUGGUCAAGUGAUUGAGCGCCGAUAAUGUAGCGGGGCUAAGGACACCGCCGAAGUUGUGGCAGCAUCACGAUACUGUAAUGGUGUGGUGUUGGGUAGGGGAGCGUCGUGUCGCCAGUGAAGUCGCCGUGUGAACGAGUGGUGGAGGCGUCACGAGUGAGAAUGCAGGCAUGAGUAGCGAAAGACGGGUGAGAAACCCGUCCACCGGAUGACCAAGGGUUCCAGGGCUAGGCUAAUCCGCCCUGGGUAAGUCGGGACCUAAGGCGAGGCCGACAGGCGUAGUCGAUGGACAACCAGUUGAUAUUCUGGUACCGACACACAACCGACAAUACCAAAACACAUNNNNNNNNNNNNNNNNNNNNNNNNCUCCCCGGUCCACCCGUGGCGUCUUCGGAUGUCUGGUUGGUGGGUUGGUGAGGACCUGAGUGUGGAGUCGGUAAGCGUGAGGUGUGACGCAGAAAGGUAGCCAGGCCACGCGAUGGUAGUCGUGGUCUAAGGUCGUAGCAUGUGGGGGUAGGCAAAUCCGUCCCCACACAAGUGUGAGAGCUGAUGGGCGCCCCACAGUGGUGGGGUGAUCUGGUGAUCCUCUGCUGCCGAGAAAAGCAUCGACGUGAGGGUGUGUGUUGCCCGUACCCUAUAACCGACACAGGUGGUCAGGUAGAGAAUACUAAGGUGAUCGAGAGAAUCGUGGUUAAGGAACUCGGCAAAAUGCCCCCGUAACUUCGGGAGAAGGGGGGCCAUCCUGGUGAACGACCCUUGCGGUUGGGAGCUGGUGGUGGUCGCAGAGGCCAGAGAGAAGCGACUGUUUAUUAAAAACACAGGUCCGUGCGAAGAUGUAAGUCGAUGUAUACGG